Gallus gallus (chicken) is the source of this 1852-nucleotide long non-coding RNA. NCBI's taxonomy places the organism in Eukaryota, Metazoa, Chordata, Aves, Galliformes, Phasianidae. The record is from Ensembl.
CCUUCACUGGAAAACUAGUGGCAUUUGUGGAUAACCCAGAGAGGUCUGCCAAGUACUUCUACUUUUUACACUUUGCCAAUUAAGAAAAUUAAGGUAAUACCAAUCAAUCAAUACAACGUCUAAUAUUGGUGUGAAUGGAGAAUGAAUGGGAACGCUUGGGUGUGCAGCAGGUUAUGGACUGCAACACAAGGAGAGGGGCUCUCAGAAUGUCAGUGUUAAUGGCAUCCACAUUUGGAGUUCAUCAGGAUCCCAUCAGUUCCACCUGCAGUUUCAUGACAUGCUUGGAAAAUGCAGCUUGUUGAAAGGAGAUCAGCGCUCCACGGCCCUGGGUCGAUACAUUUCACAAUUGUUUCUUUUUUACUUUCUCCAUCUGAUGAGAUAGUUUUGGGAGCUGUUCCAAAAACAAGGCUUUGCUGGGGUUCAGUAAGAACCGCUCUGUGUUUCACAGUGUGGUUUUGUUCCCUUGUAAAAACUGAAAAAAAAAACCCCACACAAUAAGAGCCCAAAAUCAUGCGGCACACAGUGUGAUUUUCUGUGCUCCCUCUGGGAAGAUCUUCACAUGGAUUUGCUGUGGCAACCAGCUAAUAGUAAGCAGCCCACGCUGCGACUGCUUCUGCAAACUGUUGAUGCUGCUCGCAACAAUAGAUCCAUUUGCUCACUUGUAAAAGGAACAGCACUCCACAGCUUAAAACUAGGAGAAGCUUCAAGCAGUGCAGGGUGAUGAGUCUUCCCCAGGAAAGGAAGAUAUCAACAGUGAAUCCAUAGUAGAAGAUUGCUUUUUGAAAAAGCAUCGUAUUAAAAAGUCUUGUUUCAACACUGACCUUUAAGGGUAAUUUAUGACCCUUGCAAAUACCUGGAAGGAAAAUUUAGGUGAGACUUAGGCAGGUGUUUUUUUUUUUUUUUUUUUCAUUCAUACAGGCUAAGAUGAGACCCCGCUUUCUGCUCAGCCAUCCAGAAAUACAGGCAAUCCUCCUGGGUCCCUUCCACCAGGAAUGGGUGAGCUCACAUGCAGCUGACGAGAGCCAGGUGUCCAUCGGAGGCAAAUGUAUGCAGAGUUUGGUCAACACUGCUCAGAGGAAAAGCGUGAACAAUCAACCCUGGAGCAUCUUUUGCAUUUACUGUAGUAGAUUUAAUCCACUCCAUUGAUCACAUCAUUUCCAGCCAGCAGCGUGAGCCUAAAAACCAGUCUAACCUUUACUCAGUAUCACCACGGGUAGUGAUCUCGAAUGCCUCUUGUGUGAGAUAAUGAAAGGUUGUGGAAAGGCAGUUGGAGGGAGGUCGUGCACUAAAACACAGGUAAUACAGGUUGAAAGCUGGCUGCAAAUAGCCCCGAGGCAGCAGCUUGGAUGUACUAUUCUCCAUCUAAUGCAUUUGUAAUUGCCACUUAAAGAGGAACCGUGCUGGUUUUCUUUCUGGUGAAUCUCAUCAUGUUUUCUGAGUCAGUUACCCAUCUAACAUCAGCGCUGAUAAAAGCAAAAAGAAGAAAUGAUUGCUGUUGGAGUUCUUUUGGAGGCCUACUUCAGCUGUGAUGAAGUGAUACACAAACUUUUUUUUUGGACUAGCAAAAUUUCUUGCACCUUCCUAACGACAAUUGCCCUGACUGAUGCUUUCCUAAGAGAAACAACAGGGAGUGACUGGGCCGCUUCUUUUGCAGAGCUGUAUCAUGCUGGCAGCAGGUGGGAAGAAGGUUGUUUCCUGCACAGUGUGAUCAGAUUUGGUGCUGGAUGACUGAUGCCUAAUUGUUUUCAUUAAAAAAAGAAAAAAGUAAUUUUUCAGAGCAGUGUCAGCCAUCAGGAGGGCAGACUCUGCUCUUCAUUUUGUGCUCUGAGUGCCAAUUAAAACAUCAUCGGCU